RNAcentral lists this ribosomal RNA (404 nucleotides) under Actinomycetes bacterium. Its description in RNAcentral is "Actinobacteria bacterium partial 16S ribosomal RNA". It matches the Rfam family "Bacterial small subunit ribosomal RNA", at positions 355 to 776 of the family's 1533-position model. Lineage: Bacteria; Bacillati; Actinomycetota; Actinomycetes. The record is from RNAcentral.
UGGGGAAUAUUGGACAAUGGGCGCAAGCCUGAUCCAGCCAUGCCGCGUGAGUGAUGAAGGCCCUAGGGUUGUAAAGCUCUUUCACCGGUGAAGAUAAUGACGGUAACCGGAGAAGAAGCCCCGGCUAACUUCGUGCCAGCAGCCGCGGUAAUACGAAGGGGGCUAGCGUUGUUCGGAUUUACUGGGCGUAAAGCGCACGUAGGCGGACUAUUAAGUCAGGGGUGAAAUCCCGGGGCUCAACCCCGGAACUGCCUUUGAUACUGGUAGUCUUGAGUUCGAGAGGGGUGAGUGGAAUUCCGAGUGUAGAGGUGAAAUUCGUAGAUAUUCGGAGGAACACCAGUGGCGAAGGCGGCUCACUGGCUCGAUACUGACGCUGAGGUGCGAAAGCGUGGGGAGCAAACAGG